Harpegnathos saltator (Jerdon's jumping ant) is the source of this 436-nucleotide long non-coding RNA. RefSeq lists it as uncharacterized. The transcript is spliced from 3 exons. The record is from RefSeq and is a predicted model, not a curated record. Lineage: Eukaryota; Metazoa; Arthropoda; Insecta; Hymenoptera; Formicidae.
AAGUCGCGCAAUAGAGAACUGACUAUAUAUGUUCAUUUCUCGAAACGAUAGAAGCCUGGUAGUAAAAAAAUAGAAGAAAUUGUGGUUACGAAAAGUGUAUUCACAUUUUUGCAAGGCACGAUGAAAGCACUUUUUAAUCUUUCCUUGUUAAUUGUGCUAACGGUUAUUACAAUAUCACUGGAAAUAUCCGAAUGCGCAAUGGCGUAUGUGCGACCUACUACCCCUAGUUAUGAGACAAGCAGCUUGUUUGUGCAGGCACCUGCUAUCAUAAAUCUUCCCGAUAAAAACAUAAAUCCAUGUAUGGCAGGUCAAAGGCCGGACAAAUUUGGAAUAUGUCGCGGAAGAGUAUAACAGCAAAGACAUGCAGAUUCAAGAAUAUAAAAUGCAAUUUUAUGCAAAAAUAUAUGCAAUUUUUAUAAUAUUAGAAACUAUAUAA